AUAUUCUGAUUGGCGCCGCCUGGUUUCGCGACUAGGCGGAUUGCCGAAAAGUUUCUUAAACUUGAUCAUUUAGAGGAAGUAAAAGUCGUAACAAGGUUUCUGUAGGUGAACCUGCAGAAGGAUCAUUACCGUAUCCGACGUCGACUUAACCGUCGAUGUUCGCGAAACACCACCGUGAACCUAUUCGGGCGUGCGGGGUGGAGUGUCCUUCAUCGGACACUCCUUAAUUGGAGCGCCGUCGACCGUUCGCGCGGCCCGUCGUCGCUGCUGCCCCGCACGCGUACUUUCCUUUAUAUUUUUACACAAACAUUCCUCUCUGUUCCUGUUUCCGUUGGGUGCGCGUGCGCGCGUACCCUCUGGAGAAUCGAGCAAACUUGACAACUUCUAACGGUGGAUCUCUUGGCUCGUGCAUCGAUGAAGAACGUAGCCAGUUGCGAUAAGUAGUGUGAAUUGCAGAAUUCCGUGAAUCAUCGAAUCUUUGAACGCAAAUUGCGCUCUUUGGAUCUCCAGAGAGCACGUCUGUCCGAGUGUCGUUUGGUAACCAGCGCACCUCGCGUGCGAAGUUGGGGGUUCGCGUCGGUCCCGCGUUUCCGCGCGGCGACGGACUCGUCCCUCGAACUCGCGCUGAACCGAUCGCGCGUACGAUCGAAAGGCUCAACUCGUUGACGGCCCUUCGGAGAUCGUGCGCGCCGCAGGUUCGCGUCUCGGCGAUUGGAAGAUCGUCGCCGAACCCUUUCUGAAUUUUGACCUCGGAUCAGGCGAGACUACCCGCUGAAUUUAAGCAUAUUAAUAAGCGGAGGAAAAGAAACUAACAAGGAUUCCCCUAGUAACGGCGAGUGAAGCGGGAAUAGCUCAAACUUAAAAUCUCCGUCGCUUGCGGCGGCGAAUUGUAGUCUCGAGAAGCGUUCUCAGAGCGGAUACGCCGCGCUUAAGUCGCUUUGGCACAGCGCACCGUAGAGGGUGACAGUCCCGUACACGGCGCGGCG
RNAcentral lists this ribosomal RNA (986 nucleotides) under Nausithoe punctata. Its description in RNAcentral is "eukaryotic LSU rRNA". The stretch from base 745 to 986 matches the Rfam family "Eukaryotic large subunit ribosomal RNA", at positions 1 to 235 of the family's 3401-position model. Lineage: Eukaryota; Metazoa; Cnidaria; Scyphozoa; Coronatae; Nausithoidae. The record is from RNAcentral.